This 572-nucleotide ribosomal RNA is filed under the name uncultured fungus. RNAcentral describes it as "eukaryotic LSU rRNA". The stretch from base 202 to 355 matches the Rfam family "5.8S ribosomal RNA". The record is from RNAcentral. Lineage: Eukaryota; Fungi.
GGAUUUUCGGUUUUCGUAGGUGACCUGCGGAAGAUCAUUACAGAGAACUUGCCCUUCGGGGUAGAUCUCCCACCCUUUGUUUACAUUACCUUUGUUGCUUUGGCGGGCCCGUCUUACGACCACCGGCUUCGGCUGGUCAGUGCCCGCCAGAGGACCCCAAACUCUCUUGUUAAUGUCGUCUGAGUACUAUAUAAUAGUUAAAACUUUCAACAACGGAUCUCUUGGUUCUGGCAUCGAUGAAGAACGCAGCGAAAUGCGAUAAGUAAUGUGAAUUGCAGAAUUCAGUGAAUCAUCGAAUCUUUGAACGCACGUUGCGCCCUCUGGUAUUCCGGGGGGCAUGCCUGUUCGAGCGUCAUUACAACCCUCAAGCUCUGCUUGGUAUUGGGCGUCACUGUCUCCGGUGCGCCUUAAAAUCAGUGGCGGUGCCCUUAGGCUUCAAGCGUAGUAAUUCUUCUCGCUCUGGAGGUCUGGUGUGUGCUUGCCAACAACCCCUAAUUUUAUCAAGGUUGACCUCGGAUCAUCUAGGGAUACCCGAUGAAGUUCAACUUAUAAAUCUAUUCUGGAAGGAAAUG